This 427-nucleotide ribosomal RNA is filed under the name uncultured bacterium. RNAcentral's name for it is "bacterial SSU rRNA". It matches the Rfam family "Bacterial small subunit ribosomal RNA", at positions 355 to 774 of the family's 1533-position model. The record is from RNAcentral.
UGGGGAAUUUUGGACAAUGGACGCAAGUCUGAUCCAGCCAUGCCGCGUGCGGGAAGAAGGCCUUCGGGUUGUAAACUGCUUUUGUACGGAACGAAAAGACUCCUUCUAAUAAAGGGGGUCCAUGACGGUACCGUAAGAAUAAGCACCGGCUAACUACGUGCCAGCAGCCGCGGUAAUACGUAGGGUGCGAGCGUUAAUCGGAAUCACUGGGCGUAAAGCGUGCGCAGGCGGUUAUAUAAGACAGAGGUGAAAUCCCCGGGCUCAACCUGGGAACUGCCUUUGUGACUGCAUAGCUAGAGUACGGUAGAGGGGGAUGGAAUUCCGCGUGUAGCAGUGAAAUGCGUAGAUAUGCGGAGGAACACCGAUGGCGAAGGCAAUCCCCUGGACCUGUACUGACGCUCAUGCACGAAAGCGUGGGGAGCAAACA